GUGGGGGCUCCGGCUCGCACACUCCUCACACCCCCCGGCCCGGCGUGUCCGGGCUUU
Molecule: non-coding RNA, 57 nt
Organism: Cyanobium gracile PCC 6307
Lineage: Bacteria; Bacillati; Cyanobacteriota; Cyanophyceae; Synechococcales; Prochlorococcaceae
Source: Rfam